CACGUUCUUCUCUGCUCGAUCUCGUCGAACCACGAAUCCCGAACUUUAGACAAAAAUAAGCGAGGUCCCUGUGCAUCGCUUAUCAAGUACUCGGUCGAAGACUUCAAUCGAAGAUCGUCGUCAUUCCGUGCGUCAUCAAGGAAUCCUAAGGAUCGGAUGAAGACGAAGCUAGCAGCGCGAUAUUCCCCAAGCGCUCGACAAAUUGUCUGGAUCGGAAAAUCGCUACCGAUCUCGUGGAUUCGUGUCAGCUGUGGAAACGGUAAGCUGAUAAAUUAUUUAGAAUAGUUCGAUCGAUGAAUAAAUUAAUGUGCUAGUGCGAUGCUCAUUAAGGUGCUCGAUAAAUUGCGUAAGUCAUGAAACUCUCGUCGACUUCGCAGUUCUUGCGAUUAUCGAGCCAGGUUCAGCUAUAGCGAGUUAUUUCGCUAUUCCGGCCAAUUAGCGGAAUUAGUGUACCGAAUAGAAUAUUAAUAGGCCUGUGUGAUGAGGAAAUAGUUUAAUCACUUAUACAUAUGUGUGUAUAUAUUUACGAUAAAGAAAUAUUUAAAUAAUUGUUGAUAUGAAAAUCAUGUGAGGAGUAAAAUAAAAUUUAAAAUAGUUCUUUAUGAGCGAUGUAGAAUAAUUCAUAAAACGAGGGAUAAGUUUAGAAUUCAAUUAAUUAACUGAUAAGUUGUGGUUAGGCUAAUUGUAUUAAAGGUGUAUAAUUUGUUGUUUUGUGAUGUUCGCGUUAGGUUCGGUUAAUCUAGCGAAGCGUAAUUAUUGCGCAUAGUCAUAUAUUAAUAACUAGUGUUUCCGUACAAAAUUAUACAACGCCUCGCCGCUAGGUGUUUAAUUCACCGUCGUGUAGCCUUAUUUAGGUUUGUGAUAUUCUUGUUUAUAUGCAUUCAUGUGCAUUAUGCAAAUCAUUUAGGUACGUUGAUUAACCACGAGAUGCGGAGAACUUGAGUCAAGUCGACCCCAAGCGUGGACUACUCCGCAUGGUGAGGCUGAUGGACCAACCUGAAGAUGGUUAAAUCAAGAGAAUGUUUGGUCGAGGGAUACUCAUCAAGUGGACAACGUCUAACAACACUAACCUAGUGUUAUUCCAGGCAAGCCCCGGUGCAUGCAACCCCUUUCCUUGUGUUUUUAAAUACUUUUUGCACACUUAAGUCUAGUGAAAUGUGCAUUAGGUUCAUAGGAAUUGCUUGAAACCCUUUGAUGCAUUGCUUUCCUUGAUAUCCAUACCUUUAUAGAUACUUCUGGUGAAGUAUCAAAAUAUGAUUUACAAAAAUGCUUAGCCCUGCUUAGAUCUUGUGGAUAGAGGUUGUCCUUAGCCUAGCUCGAGAAAGGAUGACUUCUACCUGCAAGAAUAUUUUCAUUUGGAGCAAUGAUGGGAUCUUACUGCAAAGUUCCCUGUGAUGCUCUUUUCAUCCUAGGAACAGAAACAAUCCUAAGGAUGGAAGUACUUAAAUCGAGACUUGGGCUAGGAACAGGUGCUCCGCCCGGGUCAAUUAAGGAUUGGAUGCGUAUGUAGGCCUGUUGAUCAAGGACUAUCUUAUCUAGCCACAUGCCCUGAGAAUGGGACAUGGUAAGCUUGAACCCGGCUAUUCCAUACAUGAAAAGACAAUCGCGCACUGGGCGUGGAGAGAUGGCGAGAGUGGCACGUACCCUCCUGGCAACGGAUCGCCUAAAAGGGGUGGUGUACUCUCGGGUGGCGCGGACCUGUUCAUGCAGUGGAGGAUCCGUGGGAAUAGUAGACAUCAAGGUUUACAAGAAACAUAUGUCGUGUGGUUAGAAAUCCUCAGCUGAGUAAAUCGAUUCGGAUCGCCGUUAUAUCCCCGGAGAGUGGAGACUUGAGCUCCGACCUACAACCUAAGUCAAGAUGUGAACACUAAAAUGAUGUUGUAUUGAUGAGAUGAUGAAAUUAGACUAGAUGCAAACAGAGUCUAUUAAAUAUUUAAUCUGGCGUUAAAAUAUUAAAAGUAAGGACUCACUUUAGUAAGCUAUUUCUGCAAAAGUAUCUAAGUUGAUUCUUGCUAAAGCCUCUCCUUGAUUCCCAAAUCCAGCAUAUCCUUGAGAGUCUUUUCUUUAGUCGGGUAAGUCUUGCUGAGUAAUUCCAUACUCAGGGUUUUAUUCCCUGUUGUUUUUCAGGUUAUAGUUUUGUGCUGUUGUGAUGGUGUUAAGUGCCGGUGGGCUCGGCCUUCUUAUAUAAGUAUACCCCUUCUAUACUUCUUAUUGAGGAUGGUCGUUUGAGCUAGCAUAUAUUUCAAACAUAUACUUUUGUAAUCACUCCGAUAAAAUAAUGUAAAAUUUUUGUAACUUGUAAAAUUUGGUAACAAGAUUUCCGCUGCAAAAAUAUUGGUGUGUGUGAUUUGUGUUUACUUAAUCCCGCGAUUCUGGUUGUAAGUGGUUUAUCCGAUGUCCUUGGGGCAAUCGGACGGAUCCUGUUAAGUUAUUUAGUGCACAUGCAUAGCUGUCUGAGAUCUUUGAGACAAAGACAGGUGCAUGUGGGCCCAAUAACUUGGGAGGUUCUGCCACAGCUGGUAUCGGAGCUGGAUUAAGUAUAUACGGUCACAUACGUAUUUUCAAAACAAAAGUUUUGGUUUUGAAAAACCUAUUUUCAACUAAACACAUUGUUGGGCUUUGAAAAAACAGUUUUGAAAAACUAUAAUGCUAGCGACAUCCUCUGUUAAGCCCUAAACUAAGGACUAUCAGGUGGCUUAGUUGAAAACCAUAACCCAUAAUCGGGUGGGUAUUGCAUACAUGUGUAUUGUUAUUUUUAAGGCCAUUCAGUUUUGAAUGGAAUCGACGCUCAAGGUAAUGUGAGAUGUGAGAGCAUGACCGAACAAACGUCGGUCUAGGGAAGUGCUUAAUUGUAGCGCUUGAUUAUAUACAUGUUACACAUAUGUAUAUAUGAAGACUGCGAUGUGGAGUAUUUACUUUUCUGGGAAUUAAGUAUCCCAUGGAUGUAUAUGGGUAUACAGACCUAGGAAUACUGAGAAGUGUAAUGUACUUGUAACGACGCACCUACACUCAGGUAAGAAGGUGAGUUACCAUAAUGAGUUGCCCUAUGGUUAAAGUGUGGCAACGGCGCCUAUGCGUGGCUCGGCGCUUAAUGAUGAGCUGGCCUCCGUAUAGCAAUAUAUGGAGUAUAACCUGUGAUAAACUGUCAUGUGUGACUUGCAUCAUUGGAAAAUUGGGCUGCAAUGGAUUUUCUGCAGGUACACUAACCUCGAAAACGUAUGUGUAGCUGACGACUAGCAAAAUACCGUGAGAGUCGUUAGUAUGCCACCGAUAUAGAACGUUAUCGCCACAGUACGUUGGCAAAACUCGUGAGGACGUAUAGGACGAGCAUGCAUCCUGAUUGUUGCAUCAUGUUUGUCACCUAUACACCCAAAAUGCUUCUCUCAUCUUUAUUCAGCAACCAUUGAUUGUAGAUUAUGUGGUGUAAUGCUGUAUUAUGGACUUCGAUGAAAUAGGUGUCCUCCAUUCUUUAGGUGACCUCUUAGGGUGCCUUAUGUGUUUGCUUUGGUGCUUGAUGUACUGAUAGGAGGAUAGUGACUUGUUUGCCUAAAUCUAAAAUUAGGCCAUGUUCUUAGUUGGUGAACUGAGACCCAAAUUUGAAUUUACCAUUAUCACCCCAUGACCAAACACAUAUAAAUGAAUGUUUAGAUAAUUUCUUUGUUGGACAUAAAAUGUACCAAGCUUAAACCAAGGAUCUCAAACCAUGUCUCCUUCUAGAACCGUUCCCUUGUUCAGUUGAUGCAGGUUGAGGUCUCUAUUGUAUUUGGCCUCUCCUUGCGGAUUGCAUUGUUGCUUUAUCAACCCAACCUGGGAAAGUCAUGCGUGAUCAUUUUCCUUAAUUUGGUGUCGUUGAUUUCUUCAUAUCUAUUGAAGGCAUACCAACUUCAUCUUGUGAUUGUUUUCCUCUGUAUCUAAUCGGAUACUAAUCCUUGACCUUGUAAUCUCUGCGAUGGGCAUAGAAAUAUGCUUGGGGCUGAAUUAACAGUCUCCCAUCGUACUCCUUUCAUCAAGUUUAGGUUAUGGCCAUGCCUUGUUCAGUUCAUCGGGCCAUGAUCUAUUUGGAUCUCUACUUGUAAUCAUUCUUACAUGUGGAGUAUCUCUUUGUAUAUUGUCACCCUUGCCUAAUCCAUUGGUGUCGCGCGAUAUUUCUUAUCGGUUAUGUCUGGUAAUGGUGCUAUGACUAAAACUGAUGGUGCCGUGACGAAACCGAGGGCCUUCUGUGUGUGCGCACACAUGGUUGUGCUGCUCGGCACGCGCUGGUAUCACAGUCAGUAGUUGUAAUCCAUUAUGAGACUAUGUCAAUGCGUUAUCUUGGCACAAUCUAUUUUUUUCCUACGUGGGAUUUAUUAUUGGUGCCUGUUCGGUAAUGGUGUCACGAUUAAUGACUUAUGGUGCCGCAGCGAAACUGAGAGCCUCCUGUGAAUGCGCACACAAGACUGUGCUACUCGUCGGAUGCUGGUAUCAAGGUCUCUAGUCAUGAUCCAUUAUGGAACUACACUGAUGUGUGAUCUUCCGUGGACACCUUCCUUGAAACAAUUUCUAUGUUGUUUGUCGAGUGACCAAGCAACAUCUAUCAUCUCUGUUGGAUCAAACAGGCAUACCACUUCCAUUUGUGGUCUCUUUUCUUUUGAUCUUGGUAGUGACUACUUAUACAAGUUCCCUUUACAUCCUUUGUGUAAAGGUGAAGCCUUGGAGCUUUUUAGUGUCGAGAGACAACUGAUUAGCUCUCAAAAUGAAGAUUGAUUUUUCCCUGCUGUUGUGAUGCAGGAGUUUGUUCAUUCGCUCUCUUAUUUAAUCCAAGUAUUCCCUAACCAAGUGGAUAAUUCAUCUCACAUGAAGAAACGGAUGAACAACCUGACCAAAUGGAUUUCUGCCCAAGUGCAUGAUCAACUGUUAGUAUGAGUGAACUCUCAACCCUUGGCUUACCAAUGGUACUGAGAGGAUUUGCUUAAUGUCAAAAGUAGUUCAACAAGUUGGUUUUGACUAACUUGUAACUGCUCAAUGAACGAAGGCUGAGUUUAGAGAUCAUUUUAUCGAGUUCUCUAAACUCACUUUGGUUCAACCCACCCUAAAGAAAGUACUUAACAAAAUCAAAUUAAGUCGACCAGUAACCAUCUAAUUAUCUCUCUAGUUAUGCCUCGAUCGCCUCACAUGUGUUUUCCCAGCAUAUGCGAUCAAGUCGAGCCAUGCCUAGUGCUUGAUAAAAUGGACUGGUCGUAAAGUUCGUAUCUACAGAUCUCUUCACUGGUGAUUCUCUAGAAUCUAGACCAUCUUUCGUGGACUCGAAUUCUCGGGUAAGCCACAUGUUAACCGCGACAGUAUUCGACAUCCACACCCGUCUCCUGUGCUAUCAAUUUCCUGUAACCACUUGUUGGUAAACUUCUUUCUGUGUUUUACCCAAGACGGUGCAUCUGAUUCUGUUUGGGGAAAAUCACGUAUUUACCGCUCACCCAAUAGACUCGGAUAGUACAAUGUCAUCAGAAAAAGCAAACUGCACACAUGAAACCUUAUGUGUUCUUGUGGCAGGUAGCGUCUCUACUGUGGGACAUCUCUAAAUUAGCUUAAGGCGAUAUAUGAUAUGCCCACUAGAGAAACUACAUCCUGAGGCACUCACCUUUACUUGGACUGUCUUAGGGUUAUCGCUGAUAUGGAUAUGGGUUACAUACUUCUCUACCCUUAGAAGUCUUUCGCUCUGAAUCUCGUGACGAGAUUCUUUUAAGGGGGGAGGGCUGUAACACCCCAGGUGUUUAUAUUCCGCUCGACAACGAGUACGGAUUUAAGCACGUAAUAUCAGUAGAUAAAACGGAUUUUAAAUUUUAAUUAUAUUUGUUUAUCGCGAUUUUAAUAUCGCAUCUGUUCCGUCUAUCGCGAGUGCGACAUCGUUUUAUUUUUAUCUAUCCGGGCUCUUCCUAAAUUUUCGUGAUGAUCGGAACAUUGUCGUUCCGAAAAUCGGUGCGUCCGAUGAUUAUUUAAAAAUUCGUCGCUCGCGCGGAUACGAAUUCGGAAGCCCGACCCACUAGGAUGUUUUAUCCCGAGCAGAUAAAGAAGAACUCGAUGACUAAGCUUUUAGUGUAAAAUAAUUUAAUCCCCUUUUUGUUAUCCGUGACAUUGCGUCUACGGAUUUUUAAUUGAAUUGUUAUCUAGUCAAGUGUUCGAGUAGCGAACGGAAUUCGUCUGAAGUCAACUAAAUCAAACGCAGAGUAAAUUAUCGAAGCCAAAAUCAUUUUAACCUGGUCUAUUUACAUCUCGCCAUAAAUCGUAACCUACAACACAAGUUAUAAUUAUAUUUAUAUUCAUAUUUAUAUUUCUGUUUUUCUAAAAGAAAAUAAAAUAUCUUCUCCUUAUUUUUGAACCAACGUCGUGAUCACUUCCUGGCGCCUGGAGUCUUCCUGAAGUGUCGUAGCUGAAAUUCUUUUGCUUUCACGUGUAAGGCUUCUAGUUCUAUCCGGCUAUCCCAGCCAUCGCUCAUCCUUUUAUCCGAGCAGCUGCUGGACGUUUUACAUUCAUCCGCUCUCUGUGACUGAUCGUCGCGAUUUUCUUUUGCACACAGCUCACGGAUUUCCUUGACCGCCGCCCUCUCUCUCCUUAUCUAUUCACUGUCGUACCCAGAUUUUUUUCUGCGCGUUGCUUAUCUCCUGGCCGCCCCUGUCUGAUUUUUGCCGCCGCUCUGGCUCUGGGAUAAAAUCUCGCUGCCCAGGCUGUCUUCUUUCUUCCCCGCGCGGCAGCUUCCCAGCUCCCUAGCGCUUCUUCCCGUGCAGCUCGCCCAGCCCCAGCGCCGUUAUUUCUCCCUCCAUCUCUCCUGCGCGUGCUCAGAUCCUAGCGCCGCGCUCCUUUCUCCCAUGCUGCGCGCCGCUCGCUCUGCUCCCUGCACGCCGCGGUUGCCUAGCUCGCGGAGGCUGCUGGGUCCGACCCCGCCAUGAGUUCCCUGGUGCCGCGUCCGGCUCCCUGCUCAGCACGCCGCGCCGUCACCUGGAGUCCCUACGCGCUCCCUCUCUGCCCGACCAUGGAACUCGUCGCGCUCGGUCCUGUCUAUCUCCGUCACUUGCGUCAGCUCGCCAGACCUACAGCUCCAUAACCUACAGCUCCAUAUAUGUCACUCUCCCGUAUCGUCAUCGAGGCCGGUGAACCACGUUCUUCUCUGCUCGAUCUCGUCGAACCACGAAUCCCGAACUUUAGACAAAAAUAAGCGAGGUCCCUGUGCAUCGCUUAUCAAGUACUCGGUCGAAGACUUCAAUCGAAGAUCGUCGUCAUUCCGUGCGUCAUCAAGGAAUCCUAAGGAUCGGAUGAAGACGAAGCUAGCAGCGCGAUAUUCCCCAAGCGCUCGACAAAUUGUCUGGAUCGGAAAAUCGCUACCGAUCUCGUGGAUUCGUGUCAGCUGUGGAAACG
This 7386-nucleotide long non-coding RNA is filed under the name Zea mays. RNAcentral's name for it is "long non-coding RNA (ZMAY_LNC002323)". Lineage: Eukaryota; Viridiplantae; Streptophyta; Magnoliopsida; Poales; Poaceae. The record is from RNAcentral.